UUUCUUCCUUGUUUUCAUCGUUCUUACCAAACAAACCCUUUGAAUGUUCAUCUGCUUUUUCCAGUUUAACACCCCCCACCCCCCGCAAGUUGGAGGGGUUCGUAGAAAUCCCCAACUUGGAGAGUAUUAUGUGAUGAGAAGGUCCAUUCAAAGCUUUGGUAAAUAAACCAGCCAACUGCGAAGCUGCCGGAACAUACGAGAGUGAAAUGAGUCCGGCAACAAAUUGUUGUCGGACAAAAUGACAAUCUGAUUCCACGUGUUUAGUACGUUCAUGGAACACUGGAUUCUUUGCUAUAUGAAUAGCGGAUUGACUAUCUGAGUGAAUCGGAAUUGGGAGAUCCGGUGGAUAACCUAAGUCUGUCAAAAGAUGAUGCAACCAGGUGAUCUCAGCAACGACGUGCCUCAUAGACCGAUAUUCAGCUUCGGCUGAUGAUAAAGAAACAGAGGUUUGCUUCUUCGAUUUCUAUGAAAUCGGUGAACCACCAAGAGUGACAUAGAAUCCGCUAAAGAUCGACGUGAGUCAAUACACGAUCCCCAAUCCGCAUCACAGAAAGCAACCAGCUGCAAGGGAAUAUCAGUGCGAAAAAAUAAACCUUGCCCGGGGUUAGAUCUGAUAUACGGAAGAACUCUGAUUGCUGCAGAAUAAUGAGGGAGUCUGGGGCUUUGCAUGUACUGAGAAAGAUGUUGCACAACAUAUGAGAUAUUUGGUCGACUGUGAGUGAGGAUCCAUUGGAGAUGAUACAAGAGAUAGAUGAAAGCAGUCAAAUUCAGUAAGAAGAUCGAGGGCAUACUUGUGUUGAGUGACAAUUACCCCAUGAGGUUCCUUGAGAACUUCCAAUCCUAAGAAGUGGUACAAUUUAGCUCCAUUGAGCUGACCAAACCUGUCUUCAAGAUCAUUCCAUAGAGCUUCAACAGUUUGUGAAUAAAUAAUAGACUUAGCAAUUUCGUUAGAAAGAGAAUUAAGCAACCAAGAUGUGACCUGACCUUGUCAUUGCAUCUAUUCCAUAGUUUAUAGUCUGGAGAUGCAUAAUCUGGUUGUUUAGAGAUGUCAUCAAUAAAACUAGUCUUAUUUUUAGCUGAAAGGGCAAUCAACACAGACCUUUUCCAGCCUGCAUACCCUCUUCCCUCAAAUAUGGAAUUCACAAGAGAACUUUCAGGAGAAUCAGAGGGGUGAAGAUAAAGAGAAUCACUGGAAUCCAUGGAAGAGGAUCCAGUAUUUCUAGUGAUGGCAGUAGCUGACUGAGUUCCCAUUAAAUUAGGAGUUUCGUUCCUGUGAUACCAUAAAAGACAGUAAAAUAAAUCAGACAGAAAAUUAAAAUUGCGAAAAUUAAAUUGAAAACAAGAUUGGGCAAUUUUUUGUGUUUUUAUUGCCUUCACUGUUCAUCUAUUUAUACACAAACUAGAAUUGUUGAUCAAGAAAUAUCUUGUACAUCUGUCCCUAUUCUAUUUGUUUUUCAUGUAAUUAACUUUUCUAUAGCCUUUGAUAUAUUUACAAGUGUACUCUAGUAAAUAAUGAAUGGUUGAGAUCAAUUUCUUCAA
Lycium barbarum (goji berry) is the source of this 1539-nucleotide long non-coding RNA. RefSeq lists it as uncharacterized. NCBI's taxonomy places the organism in Eukaryota, Viridiplantae, Streptophyta, Magnoliopsida, Solanales, Solanaceae. The record is from RefSeq and is a predicted model, not a curated record. The transcript is spliced from 3 exons.